This is a non-coding RNA of Nicotiana tabacum (common tobacco), 1922 nucleotides long. NCBI's taxonomy places the organism in Eukaryota, Viridiplantae, Streptophyta, Magnoliopsida, Solanales, Solanaceae. The record is from RefSeq and is a predicted model, not a curated record.
AAAUCCCACCCUCUCUAAAGACUUUUUUGGCCUCUAUCUUCUUCUUUUCCCUUUUAUACAUGCGACUGCGUUUUGUUUAAUCAAAGACUAGUUACUGCUUUCUCUUCAACAACUCCCGUGCUGUCUAAGGAGCACAGUAUGUGGAGAAGAAGACACAGCAGAACUUCCAAUGGUUACCUUAUUUUGUUACUCUGUCACUUAGUUGUCCACUGUGCCAAUUCCCAGCUUCAGAAUUCAUGUGCUUCGGCUACCGACUGUGGAGCUGGUUUAUACUGUGGUAACUGCCCUGAAUUGGGAAAGAAUCAGCCCUUUUGCAUUAGAGGACAAGCUACUGAACCCACUUCUGUUAUCAGUGGAUUGCCCUUCAACAAAUACUCGUGGCUGGUGACUCAUAAUGCCUUUUCAAUUGUAAAUGCACCUUUAUUGACUGGCCCUCAGAGAAUUACAUUCUAUAAUCAAGAAGAUACUGUUACUAACCAAUUGAGAAAUGGAGUGAGGGGAUUGAUGCUGGAUAUGUACGAUUUCGAGAAUGAUAUAUGGCUCUGUCACUCGUUUCGUGGCCAAUGUUACAACUUCACUGCCUUUGAACCUGCAAUCAACACUUUGAAAGAGGUGGAAGCAUUUUUGAGUGCAAAUCCUACAGAAAUAGUCACCAUCAUAAUUGAGGAUUAUGUACAUACCCCAAAGGGUUUAACAAGGGUAUUUACUGAUGCUGGGUUGGACAAGUAUCGGUUUCCUGUUUCAAAAAUGCCCAAAAAGGGUGACGAUUGGCCCACCGUGAAUGAUAUGGUUAAAAAGAAUCAUCGUUUGUUGGUUUUUACUUCUGAUUCUUCAAAGGAAGCUGCUGAAGGAAUUGCUUAUCAGUGGAGAUACAUGGUCGAAAAUGAGCCUGGAGACCCUGGAGUGGUGCCUGGCGCAUGCUCUAGCCGCAAGGAAUCAAAGCCACUUAAUUCCAGAAGCGCCUCUCUGUUUCUAAUGAAUUACUUUCCCACAGUUGCCGUACAAAACGGGGCCUGCAAAGAGCAUUCAACUCAACUAGUUGAUACGGUUGGUGCCUGUUUCAAAGCAGCAGGCAACCUGAUGCCCAAUUAUGUGGCAGUAAACUUUUACAUGAGAAGUGAUGGAGGAGGAGUUUUUGAUGUUUUAGAUCGAAUGAACGGUCAGACACUAUGUGGUUGCCCGACGGUCACGGCAUGCCAGGCAGGAGAACGUUUUGGAGUUUGUAGGAAUAUUACUGCAGCGAAUGCAGCUCCAACAGCAACCAACGCUGCUGGAAGUUUUUCUGGGUCUGUGCAAUUAACAGGCCAUGCUUCAGCAAUCCAUUUUUCUAGAAUCAUAUACCUAUUUUCAUUGUCUUCUGUAAUCCUUUUGUAUCUAUUUUGAGAAGAAGAAAAGAGUUUCAGGCAGACGUUUCCAUCAGUUUCAUCCACGGAUGCUCGAUUUCUACUAUAUUUUCCUCUGUAGAUUUUUGGAGUCGGAAUAGGUACAGUAUACACUAGAGUCCCACUUCGGCAUGUUAGAACAAGGAACAUUCAGCUUGAAGUUUGUUCUCCUAGUCAAAAAGAACUUGUAAUUUUAUGGAGGAGUUUGACAUAGAAGUAGGCAUUGGGUUGCAGAAGAAUAUUCAACAUGUACCAGGUUAUUAUUCAGGGCAGUUCAGGUGUAGAAACUAGCGGAAUGUAUUAGUUGUGUUCAACGAAUGAUAGUGUCAAUCAUGCAAUCUUUUUCUUUCUCUUCAGAGUUUCUGCCUGCGGUGUAAUCACUAUCACAAUUAUGCAGUAGUGCCACUUUCCAGCUUUGAGAAUUGAACUAGAAUAUAAUGUACUCACAUGUUAGAUUAGACCACUAUAAUAAAUACUACAAUAAGGUUUCUCUCAUGUGACAUUAUUAUGCCCCAUUAGUGGAAUCAUUGUUUGUUUAAA